RNAcentral lists this non-coding RNA (29 nucleotides) under Mus musculus (house mouse). The record is from RNAcentral. Lineage: Eukaryota; Metazoa; Chordata; Mammalia; Rodentia; Muridae.
UGCCCAAUCAAGUCAUUCACUUGCUAAAU